CCAAACUUGGUCAUUUAGAGGAAGUAAAAGUCGUAACAAGGUUUCCGUAGGUGAACCUGCGGAAGGAUCAUUGCAAAAUAUCCUUGCAGUCUGCGAGGUUUACAGGAGCUUUUUUCCUUUUCGAAGGAAGAAUAUAAAGCUUAGCGCGAUUUUUGUUUCGGAAAAUUGCUGCUCUCGGCUUCUGUAGUAAAACGUAUGCAACAGCUGUGUUGGACGUGUUGAAUUGAAAAAUUUGACAAGUAUAACGCAGAUGUAUUUUCACUGUUUCAUUGAUUUGCCUUUAUGAUUUUGUCUGAUGAUUUUUCGAGGCAGAGUUUCAGCGGCGAAUGCUGCUUGGAUGAUGUUCUUGAAUAAAACAAAUUUAAAACAACUUUUAACAAUGGAUCUCUUGGCUCUCGCAUCGAUGAAGAACGCAGC
Molecule: unclassified non-coding RNA, 417 nt
Filed under: uncultured fungus
Lineage: Eukaryota; Fungi
Description: partial contains small subunit ribosomal RNA, internal transcribed spacer 1, and 5.8S ribosomal RNA
Rfam family: Eukaryotic small subunit ribosomal RNA (bases 1-73)
Source: RNAcentral